AAUCUAACAAGGAUUCCCCUAGUAACGGCGAGUGAACCGGGAAGAGCUCAAAUUUGAAAUCUGGCGUGCUCAGUGCGUCCGAGUUGUAAUCUAUAGAGUCGUUUUCCGUGCCGGACUGUGUCCAAGUCCCUUGGAACAGGGUAUCAAAGAGGGUGAUAAUCCCGUACUUGACACAAUGACCGGUGCUCUGUGAUACGUCUUCUACGAGUCGAGUUGUUUGGGAAUGCAGCUCAAAAUGGGUGGUGAGUUCCAUCUAAAGCUAAAUAUUGGCGAGAGACCGAUAGCGAACAAGUACCGUGAGGGAAAGAUGAAAAGCACUUUGGAAAGAGAGUUAAACAGUACGUGAAAUUGUUAAAAGGGAAACGAUUGAAGUCAGUCGUGACUGAGAGGCUCAGCCGGUUCUGCCGGUGUAUUCCCCUCAGUCGGGUCAACAUCAGUUUUGUUCGGUGGAUAAGGGCAGUUGGAAGGUGGCACCCUCGGGUGUGUUAUAGCCAGCUGUCGCAUACAUCGGAUGAGACUGAGGAAUGCAGCUCGCCUUUAUGGCCGGGGUUCGCCCACGUUCGAGCUUAGGAUGUUGACAUAAUGGCUUUAAACGAC
RNAcentral lists this ribosomal RNA (597 nucleotides) under Papiliotrema flavescens. RNAcentral's name for it is "eukaryotic LSU rRNA". It matches the Rfam family "Eukaryotic large subunit ribosomal RNA", at positions 62 to 648 of the family's 3401-position model. Lineage: Eukaryota; Fungi; Basidiomycota; Tremellomycetes; Tremellales; Rhynchogastremaceae. The record is from RNAcentral.